Papaver somniferum (opium poppy) is the source of this 1640-nucleotide long non-coding RNA. RefSeq lists it as uncharacterized. Lineage: Eukaryota; Viridiplantae; Streptophyta; Magnoliopsida; Ranunculales; Papaveraceae. The record is from RefSeq and is a predicted model, not a curated record. The transcript has 8 exons.
CUCGCCCUUCUUCUUUUUUUCUCGUUCUACUGCUCCAUCUUCAUCUCCUCCAUGAAACAAAUCUGAAAAACCUCUCCUUCCAAAAACUCCCUCUUCUAAAAUCGAAAAAUAUCCAUUGAUUUCCUUUCUAUGUCUCCUAUAACCCAACCCCCUUUCUCCAUAUUCUUUAUCUCCUCCACAAAAUCUAAAUUCACUAACAAAUCCAAAUUCAACAGUUUCUUUCUCAACAUCAAAACGAAAAACCCUAGCUUGAAUUGUAUUCAUCAUCAUUAAAUAAAACCCCUUACUUCAUCUUCUCACUAUCUCUUAAAAAACCCAAAAUUUCCCAAUUUCAAAACCCUAAUAGUCCUUCACUUCACUAGAUCUAUUCGAGGUCGAGUGUCAGUGUUUGCAGAUGAAAGAAAAGAUGUUUAUGAUGCCAAUUUUCUUCUUUAUGAGAUAUUGUAAUAGACAGUAAAGGCAAUCAAGAAGUUUGGGGUUUAGGGUGUUGAGUUUUAGAGUUUUUUUUUAAUUGUUGAUUUUUUUUAAUUGUAUGUGGUUUUAGCCCUUUAAAUUGAUUGUUGUACGUGUGAAAUAGGAUUUGAUAUGAAUCUUGAUAAUGGAAUUUUUGGUGUUUGAUGUUUGCAGGGAUUUCUCUUGAGGAUAAGAAGAGUAGUUUAUGAUUGGAAGUCUAAUGGAAAAGGCUUCGUCGCAACUGUAAUUGUAUUUUAGACCAAGGAAUUGGGAAAGUUUGCGUGUGCCAAAGUGGCCUGAGCACACCCAAAGUUGUUUAUGUGUUAGUGACGAAACCCUUCGUGAAAGUGCUCAAGCUUGUCCCAAUCUUCAUUUUCUCAAUGCAUCCUAUUGUCACAACAUCUCUCUUGAGUCUGUAAGAAUGCCAAUGUUGACCGUUCUGAAGCUUGUCAAUUGCGGGGUAUAACUUUGGCUUCGACGAUACUAUAGUGUUUAAUUCUUUGGGUAAAAGUUCUAGAAAGUUCGGGCACAGAAGUUGUGAUUUUCUGGUUCUGCAGAAAUUCGUGUUGCAAAAGCGGGAAACCAAGAAGACUGGUGUUGAAAUGCAAUUAUUUUCCAAAAGCUGACCUUACUGAUUGCGAAGCUCAUGUCAUCGUCCCUCGACUACUGCGAGGUUGGUAUUGGGUAUCUAAAUUUCGGUGUAUACCCUAAAUAGAGGCACUUGACACACACAUCUGAUGGUGCUGCUAGAAUUGAAGGGAUGUGGUGUUCUAUCUGAAGCAUCCAUUCGUUGUACCCAUUUAAUAACUCUACAUUCUUCUUUUCGUGGACAUGAUUUUGAUGUCCUGCUGAACUAUUGGUCAUGAUGGGCGCUCCUCUAUGUUGGCUAUCACAUUUGACGUUCCUUGGUUUAUCAUAUACUCUCUCAUUGAACUUGCAACCUGUUUUUGAUUCCUGCUUGCAAUUGAUGGUAGCUUUCAACGUUGAUCUCUUCUCCGUGCCUUUAGUAAACGAAAGCAUAGAUGGGGAAGUCUUGGCUUUAACUUCGUGUUUAAGCUUUGUGGUAGUUAAGCUUGUAAUAUAAAUAUAAAUGUUAGCAUUUGAAGUUGUCGGAUUUGCAACUUCAGUAUUUUUGAUGGUUAAAGUUGUAAACUGUUAGCAGUUUUUAAUAUACAUUCAGUUUUAAA